This is a long non-coding RNA of Aptenodytes forsteri (emperor penguin), 4443 nucleotides long. RefSeq lists it as uncharacterized. The record is from RefSeq and is a predicted model, not a curated record. The transcript has 2 exons. Lineage: Eukaryota; Metazoa; Chordata; Aves; Sphenisciformes; Spheniscidae.
ACUGAAGGAAGGAGGGUUUCUACCGCCACCGGGUUGACACGUUGGUUUUUAAAGGUUGAGAAGGGUGAGAAGUAAAUCAAACAUGGACAAGCAAUUGCUGUUUUAGCAAAAUGCAUAGAAAAAUACAUUACAUACUCAAAAAUCUGGAUGCAAGUCUACAGACCACCUAACGUUAUUUCUGGAAGACCUUUUCACAUUCAAUUCCAAAACCCCUCAAAAAAAAAAAAAUCAAAGAAUCAACAGGCCACGUUCUUUGAAGCCGUAAUUCUCUCCCCCAAGAGAGCAGCCAAACUCCCAGGACAAAACGACGGGAUUGUUUUACACAGUACUGCUAAGUUCCAAAAGACAAUCAGCCGUGAUUCCCUUUACUCCUUAAAGCUGCAUUUCCCCGAAACAGAAUACGCUGGGAAGCAGCACCCUGGGCUGCUCCAUCGUGCCUCACGAUGGGAGAAAGUCCCAAGCCUCCCGCUUCCAGCCUCAGCAUCUUUAGUCUUUGCUUUCUCCCAGUGUCCCCUCGGAUGCCUCCCCAAGGCGGGGUGCUGGUGAGCGUCUCCUUUAGCCACUGGGGGGUUGACCGCACACAUCUUUUCCCCAGCAUCGAGCGUCCCUUCCAGUGGGUGCACAAGGACUCGUGCUCGUCCCUGUGCGGGCCAAAAUGCUGUUCUUUGGGAGAAAACGGUGCCACGCUGAGAAGGUUGCUGAACAUCUAGGACUGCAGGUGUGGUCCAGGACCAUCACUCGGCACACCAAACCCAGAGCAUCUCGCCCAGAAACAGUGGGAACGUAACCAGAAGAGGGCUGUACUUGGACAAGGACACACUACAAUUUGCCACUAGGUGUCAUUCCAGCUUCAUUUUCAUUGUAUGAACAGAAGUACGGGAAACAAAAGCACUCCUCUACAGAGAUUUGCACCCCAGCUAAUAUCAAGACUGCAACUCAGCAAUGGCCUGGAACGUGCAUCUGUUACCUGCGUUCUCCCGGCUAAUUCAGAGGAAGCCUUCAAAAAAACCCCUGCGAGCCAAAUUGAGAACCGCCAUUAAGAGCCAAAGAAAGAGGUUUAAAAAUGAAACAAAAGAAAAGACAUUUCAGAGAGAUUUUAGCUUCUAAAAUCCCCAAGCAAGGCGCUCCUGAAAAGUGUAAACUCCUGAGACUUGAGAUAAACUGAGAUGCUCCUGUGGAAUAUAUACAAAGACAGAUGAUCGAGAUAAUUCACAGUGAAGAGCUUCUUAGCGGACAGAUUUAAGGCACCUGAACUACUCCUCAAAAUUACAGCACUUUGCCUGUCCUCCCCGCCAGACCCAGCUGAAAACGUGCCACAAUUGCAAGGAUAAAAGCACCCGAGGAAUUGUUCUUGAGCUGGACCCUGCAACGUAGCAUUUGGACCACGGCAGUUUUCCGGACAGAGUGAAAACGGAAAGAUCACCGAGGGCUCCAAGGGACACUUACUUGGAGGGAGCUCCGCUAGUCUCCCCUCUGCCCACGCAUGUAUUGUCUGGGUUCCUGCGAAUAGUGAAUAUAGAAGAAGAAGAGGGAUUGAGCCAAGGGUGUUAUAAUCAAAUGAUGGAAGGAAAGCCCAUAAAGAUUUUCCCCAUGUUUACAUUGAUUUUUCCAUGCAAACAAGAAAACACUGCGUUUGUAAAGAGAAUUAGAGUUCUUUUUCUAGAAAAGCCAAAGCCCCUUAUGGGAUGGACUUGGUCCUCUUUGGUGCAAUUCCCUAAUAACGGGAUGCCCGAGGACCACACCUCCAUACCACAAAGAGGCAGGCUGCAGCUAUCUCGUAAUGCUCAUGUACGUGAAGGAUCCUCCCUUCUGCCAAUUCUCCUCCCUGGUCAGAGAGUAUCGUCACAGAAAACCGACGCUGUCAGGAACCUAUAUAGCAACAUCUCGCUUCCCAAAACAUAUUCCACCCCAAACUCACCACGAAUGACAUCGCUUUGAACUUCUCCUGGUGAAAAAACAAUUGCUGAAGAGAGCAAUAAAGCAAAAACUGUCACAGAUGAGAAGAUUCUUGUUCUGCUUUGUGAAGGUGGAGAAACAAGCUUGGUCAGACCAGAGCUCAAUGUCCUGACCUCCUCUCCACCUUCAUUCCUCCCCCGCAAGGGAAAGCAUGAAGGAACAGCGUGGGUCGACACCUGCACAACAUCUGUGCAUUUUGAUGGUCUAGUGGUUAAAGGAAAGGGUCUCAGGUUCUAGAGGUCUUGGCUCAGUUCAUCAGUUUGACCUCCUCGCAUAGGCAAAAUACCUAUUUUAAGGGUAAACAUGCAAGAUAACCUGGGGAGGGCCAUGAAAGCACCCAGGAGGGAAAAGAGAUCCCAGUGCCUGGGUGUGAUGCUCCAAACAUGCAGAAGACAUGAGUGACGGCUCAAAACCAGAAGCCCUCCGAGAGGAGCAUCCUGCCAUCUCUUAACGUCCAGGGGAAGAACAAUUUUCCAGUCUUAGAGUGGUGGCCGCCUCUGAAGAGCUGUUUGCAGUAAUAUGAGGGGCACUGAACUGUUUAUGAAGCAAAACGUGGCAAGCUGCCUGUUUUGUCAGAAAUCACGUCUAGUUAAUAGUUUAUAGUAACGAACCAGGGAAGACUACGUGAGAAGGUAAACAGAAGCAGAAGAAACUUUUUUUUUUUGCAGUCCACAGAACUGAAAAAAACACUUUUUGGUAAUUCUGCGGUAUCCGUUAAUGCUGAUGGAAGAAAGACUGCACGUGAUAUGGUAGAAUGGCCAGAGAAAGGGCAGCCUGCAAAGGAUCCAGAGCUUUCAAAAUAUUAUGCAAAACCAUGCAAAGGAUUUAGAAUUCACCCCUGCUACACAUACUGGCUGCCCUCAGGUUUCCUCUGGUGUAUUCCCCACCGCACGCUUGGGCACAUCGAGCUGUGCUCACAGUGGUUACGGCCCAUCCCAGCUUUGGGGUGGAAAGCACAUCCCUAGAAAUUCCCUUUUUUUUUUCCUUAGCACAGAAAACUCAGUGUUCUCCCACUGAAGCUGCGCUGCUUUGCUGUUUGCUGACCAAGAGGGGCUGCGGCCAGCAGAGUUAGAGCUCCCUGGAGAUGUGACCAACCACUUAAAACCUUGCUGACACUAAAACACAGCAGCAGCACAGACAUCAAUCCUGGGCGGAAAGGCCAUGCUCGCCAGCCCCUUGAGCUUGCACAGCCCGAAUCUCCAGCCCAGAGCUAAGCAAACGCUUCCCAAGUGCACGGCAUGAAGCAAACCGUAUGGCUUCAUAUGAAAAGUUUCAAAAACCAGCAUUCUCCUUCACUGCAGAUCUUGUCUCUGCUACCACAAGAGGCCGAACCCACCCUGAGACUGUGCCAUCAGCCCCGCUUUGCUGCUCUUACUAGUUGGGAAGAACUCAGCAGGCUUGCACAAAGCUCAGCUGUACAGCCCCCACCUCCCCUGAGAGGUCCUUCACAAGAGGCCCCCGCAUCACCCAUCCAGGACGAGGAAACGUGAAAGGCAGCUUUGUCCUGUUGAAUUUAAGUCACACCUAACAGCUCUAAGGUGUUUGUGCAACGUCUCCAGGGCAUUAUCACUGCUGACACUCCAGGAUUGGACCUCCACGACUCAAGCCCCUACCCUGAUGGCUACGGAGCCAUUUGUGGCCACCCCGACAGCUCCCACCACCACUUCACUGUCCCAGAGCCGGGACAGCAAGACUGGGGCACAACAGGCAUGCAAAGUAGGGGAGCCCCAUAAAAUCCGCAGACAGGGAGCAAUACCUGGAACCACCGAAGUUUUGGUGAAGUGAUGAAGUUGGUAACGCUAGUCUGAAGGGCGCAAGACGUGUAACAGGUCACAGACAUGACAAGACCACGUCACAGCAAGAACAAACCCUGCAUGGUAGGCACUGGUCUUGUUGCAAAUAGCGGAAGGAUAAUUCAAGGGGGACAGCAAGGAACCCCCCAAAAACCUGCCUUGCCAAAGACAUCUCUCUGCAUACCAUGAAGUUCCUGCAGGACAAUGAUUCUCUUCCCACCCCUCCAUCAGGAGCGCCCACCCAGUCCGGAUCAAGGGAACCGGACUACAGCACCGGGCUCGCAGCACUUCAGCCCGGUUGCCAAUUUGCACGGCAGUUCUCGCACAGCUUGAGUAAACCCUUGAUGUCAUCAGGUGGAUGGCAGCCCUUGGGGGAAACCUCGCAGCUUCCCAGCCGUCACGCAAAACUGCUGUCUGGCAUCUCCUCAGCGCCGUACUGAGACGAGGAGCUGGUGGGCAGCACGCCGGUGAGUCAGAGCUAUCCUACUUCUAAACUGCAUGUGACUCAUACCAGCUUCACUGCAAAGGCACCACAGAGUCUGACUAAACCAGCUCAAAAUUUGUGUAUAUAUAAUUUUUAAAUACAUAUACACACCCACACGUGUACGUGCACACACAUACGUGCAUGUACAUACACAUAAAGUGAUUUUUUUUUUCAUAUGCAAGUGAGAGAAACUUAACGCUCUGGAAUUAA